UCUUCAAUAGCUCAGGGGUAGAGCAGAUGGCUGUUAACCAUCGGGUCGUUGGUUCAAAUCCAACUUGGGGAG
Molecule: non-coding RNA, 72 nt
Organism: Prototheca wickerhamii
Lineage: Eukaryota; Viridiplantae; Chlorophyta; Trebouxiophyceae; Chlorellales; Chlorellaceae
Source: the annotation of a GenBank genome assembly